ACGGGAGGCAGCAGUGGGGAAUAUUGGGCAAUGGGCGAAAGCCUGACCCAGCGACGCCGCGUGAAGGAAGACGGUCCUCGGAUUGUAAACUUCUUUUAUGUGGGACGAAACAAAUGACGGUACCACAUGAAUAAGCCACGGCUAACUACGUGCCAGCAGCCGCGGUAAUACGUAGGUGGCGAGCGUUAUCCGGAUUUACUGGGUGUAAAGGGUGUGUAGGCGGGACUGCAAGUCAGAAGUGAAAAUUAUGGGCUCAACUCAUAACUUGCUUUUGAAACUGUGGUUCUUGAGGGUCGGAGAGGUAACUGGAAUUCCUGGUGUAGCGGUGAAAUGCGUAGAUAUCAGGAGGAACACCGGUGGCGAAGGCGGGUUACUGGACGAUACCUGACGCUGAGACACGAAAGCGUGGGGAGCAAACAGGAUUAGAUACCCUGGUA
This 437-nucleotide ribosomal RNA is filed under the name uncultured Saccharofermentans sp. Its description in RNAcentral is "partial 16S ribosomal RNA". It matches the Rfam family "Bacterial small subunit ribosomal RNA", at positions 341 to 792 of the family's 1533-position model. Lineage: Bacteria; Bacillati; Bacillota; Clostridia; Eubacteriales; Oscillospiraceae. The record is from RNAcentral.